GUGAAUAUAGUUCAGUUGGCAGAGCACCUGAUUGUGGUUCAGGUUGUCGUGGGUUCGAGUCCCACUAUUCACC
This 73-nucleotide transfer RNA is filed under the name Planctomycetia bacterium. RNAcentral's name for it is "tRNA-His". It matches the Rfam family "tRNA". From Rfam's summary of the family: Transfer RNA (tRNA) molecules are approximately 80 nucleotides in length. The record is from RNAcentral. Lineage: Bacteria; Pseudomonadati; Planctomycetota; Planctomycetia.